AUGGCAGAUCCAAGCAAGGAUAAAGCAGGGGAUUCUAGUGUGGAUAAGCUAUAUGAAAUUUUCAGCAAAAUGUUUGAGCAGCAGCAACAACUCAGAGUGGUUCCUGAAGGAGUCAAAUAUGCACUUGAGCCUAAUCCAGUAAAGCUGGCUGGACCGGGCAAUUACAUCAGCUGGGCACGACAUGCCCAGUUAAUCCUGAGUUCUCAUGGUUAUGAUGACUUGCUUAGUGCCGAUGAAGGAAAACAGCUAAGUGACACUAGCGCAAAACAGGUUAAUGACAUAGUGUUGGUCUGGUUAUUAGAAAGCAUGGAACCAGAACAAGUUGAGACUAUGACUACUGUAUCUGAAGUAUGGGCAGCUUUGGAGAAGCAGUUUGCAGGGAAAUCCAAUAAAAUGCAAGGUAAUUGUAUUAUGCAUGAAUUGACAAACCUGAAGCAAGGCACAAAGUCUGUGACAGAGUAUGCUGGUGAGACCAAAAGACUGUACAUAGAACUGCAUUAUUAUCAUCACUUUGAGCCCGUUGACAAACAAGACUUGGCUAUUCAUCAUACCUGGUUUGAGCCAUUUGUGAGCAAGCUCUUUCUUGAUGGCUUAAAUGAGGAAUUUGACCUUCGACGCCAACUUAUAUUCUCAAAAACUGAGUGGCUUAGUCUUGAUGAUGUUAUCUCAAGUGUGAUAGAGGAGGAGACUCGGUUGGCUCAGCCUGAGAAUGGCCUAAAGUAUACAGAUGCUCAUGCAGCCUUAUCCAUGCAAGCUCGACGUGCUCCAAAGUUUGUUGGCAAAUCAGAUAAAAACAAACUUUUUUGCAACCAUUGUAAAAGGACUGGACACAUAAAGGAUGCAUGCUUUGAGCUGCACGGCUUUCCAACUUGGUGGGAAAAAGGAAAGUCUCGGCCAGGGGGAGUUCAUGGAGCAAACAAAAAACAAGCUAACCUCACUACAUCCAAGGGGGAGCUACCAGUGGUCGAUGUGCGAGCUCUUGAGGAUUUACUUCCAAGCUUAGACUCUCAGAAGGCUCGUCUACUUCCCAGGAUUCCUCUAAAGCUGAAUCUAGUUUCUAUAUCAAUUCACACCAAGGAGCUAGCGACAGGGAGACUGUUGGGGACUGGGACCGUGCAUGAUGGACUCUACUAUCUUGAUGAAGGAAGUGAUGAAGUUGCUUUUGCAUCAUGCUUGUCUCCUAGCCAAGAACUACUACUCCAUCAUCGCGGGCUUGGCCAUCUAUCUUUUGCUGCAUUAUUACGUAUUUACCCCUCUCUUUUCAAGUUGUGUCCCAAGGAGCUCCUUGUAUGUGAUGCUUGUGAGUUAGCUAAACAUACAAGGGGUUCCUAUCCUAGUAUAGGUUUAAGAAGUGCCAAACCAUUUGAAAUGAUUCACUCGGAUGUUUGGGGACCCUGUGAGGUUCGUUCCAUUUCUGGGCACCGAUGGUUUGUGACUUUUAUUGAUUGCUUUAGUCAUUACACUUGGCUUUAUCUCUUGAAGCAUAAGAGUGAUGUGUUCUUGGUUUUUAAGGAUUUAUGUGCUCUCAUUAAAAAUCAACAUGGGGCA
Molecule: ribosomal RNA, 1548 nt
Filed under: Triticum aestivum (bread wheat)
Lineage: Eukaryota; Viridiplantae; Streptophyta; Magnoliopsida; Poales; Poaceae
Description: partial small subunit ribosomal RNA
Source: RNAcentral